RNAcentral lists this ribosomal RNA (491 nucleotides) under uncultured bacterium. RNAcentral's name for it is "bacterial SSU rRNA". It matches the Rfam family "Bacterial small subunit ribosomal RNA", at positions 28 to 533 of the family's 1533-position model. The record is from RNAcentral.
GACGAACGCUGGCGGCGUGCCUAACACAUGCAAGUCGAACGGAGAUACGAUUUCGGUUGUAUCUUAGUGGCGAACGGGUGAGUAACGCGUGAACAACCUGACUCUAAGAGGGGGAUAACACUCGGAAACGGGUGCUAAUACCGCAUAAGACCACGACCCGGCAUCGGGAUGAGGUCAAAGGAGCAAUCCGCUGAGAGAGGGGUUCGCGUCCCAUUAGAUAGAUGGCGGGGUAACGGCCCACCAUGUCAACGAUGGGUAGCCGAGCUGAGAGGCUGAUCGGCCACACUGGAACUGAGACACGGUCCAGACUCCUACGGGAGGCAGCAGUGGGGAAUAUUGGGCAAUGGGCGCAAGCCUGACCCAGCAACGCCGCGUGAGGGAAGAAGGCUUCGGGUUGUAAACCUCUGUCCUUGGUGACGAAACAAAUGACGGUAGCCAAGGAGGAAGCCCCGGCUAACUACGUGCCAGCAGCCGCGGUAAGCUGUAGUCGU